UCUCAAAAAUAACGUCUCAGUUCGGAUUGUAGUCUGCAACUCGACUACAUGAAGCUGGAAUCGCUAGUAAUCGCGAAUCAGAAUGUCGCGGUGAAUACGUUCCCGGGUCUUGUACACACCGCCCGUCACACCAUGGGAGUCAGUAACGCCCGAAGUCAGUGACCCAACCAUAUAGGGAGGGAGCUGCCGAAGGCGGGACCGAUAACUGGGGUGAAGUCGUAACAAGGUAAC
This 231-nucleotide ribosomal RNA is filed under the name uncultured bacterium. RNAcentral describes it as "partial 16S ribosomal RNA". It matches the Rfam family "Bacterial small subunit ribosomal RNA", at positions 1272 to 1500 of the family's 1533-position model. The record is from RNAcentral.